GUCUCUUCUCGACUCUCUGAGCUAAGAUCAUGUGUAUUAUCUGUUCUUUGCAGUGUGAUUUCUGCAACGAUCUCUAAACUUUUCUGUAAAUACUAGUUUUUAACUUCCCAUCUUCU
This 116-nucleotide small nuclear RNA is filed under the name Trichobilharzia regenti. RNAcentral's name for it is "U2 spliceosomal RNA". It matches the Rfam family "U2 spliceosomal RNA". From Rfam's summary of the family: U2 is a small nuclear RNA (snRNA) component of the spliceosome (involved in pre-mRNA splicing). Complementary binding between U2 snRNA (in an area lying towards the 5' end but 3' to hairpin I) and the branchpoint sequence (BPS) of the intron results the bulging out of an unpaired adenosine, on the BPS, which initiates a nucleophilic attack at the intronic 5' splice site, thus starting the first of two transesterification reactions that mediate splicing. The record is from Rfam by way of RNAcentral. Lineage: Eukaryota; Metazoa; Platyhelminthes; Trematoda; Strigeidida; Schistosomatidae.